GGGGAAUUUUCCGCAAUGGGCGAAAGCCUGACGGAGCAAGACCGCGUGGGGGAAGAAGGCUCUUGGGUUGUAAACUCCUUUUCUCUGGGAAGAACAGAAUGACGGUACCAGAGGAAUCAGCAUCGGCUAACUCCGUGCCAGCAGCCGCGGUAAGACGGAGGAUGCAAGCGUUAUCCGGAAUGAUUGGGCGUAAAGCGUCCGCAGGUGGCAGUUCAAGUCUGCUGUCAAAGACCGGGGCUCAACCUCGGAAAGGCAGUGGAAACUGAACAGCUAGAGUAUGGUAGGGGCAAAGGGAAUUCCUGGUGUAGCGGUGAAAUGCGUAGAGAUCAGGAAGAACAUCGGUGGCGAAGGCGCUUUGCUGGACCAUAACUGACACUCAGGGACGAAAGCUAGGGGAGCGAAUGGGAUUAGAUACCCCAGUAGUCCUAGCCGUAAACGAUGGAUACUAGGUGUUGUCUGUAUCGACCCGGACAGUGCCGUAGCUAACGCGUUUAAGUAUCCCGCCUGGGGAGUACGCACGCAAGUGUGAAACUCAAAGGAAUUGACG
This 547-nucleotide ribosomal RNA is filed under the name uncultured cyanobacterium. Its description in RNAcentral is "bacterial SSU rRNA". It matches the Rfam family "Bacterial small subunit ribosomal RNA", at positions 356 to 915 of the family's 1533-position model. The record is from RNAcentral. Lineage: Bacteria; Bacillati; Cyanobacteriota.